Non-coding RNA from Chlorocebus sabaeus (green monkey), 5372 nucleotides. The record is from RefSeq and is a predicted model, not a curated record. Lineage: Eukaryota; Metazoa; Chordata; Mammalia; Primates; Cercopithecidae.
AAUUUCCACUGUGGAGAGAUGGGUUUGUCCUCUAGGAAGGCGGCUUCCUGGGGAAUCAGACCCAAGACGAUGCCUUCCCUGAAGCCCUGCAGGGGUGACAGUGGUCCAGUCUGGAAAGGGUUCCUUUAGUCUCACGCAGGGCAGCUUCAAGCUGACACGUGGUGUGUGAGUCUGUCCCUUCCCCAGAGAGGGGUGGGCAGUUGGGCCCGUGGGGUCAGGCUGUGGAGAUUCAAGGAUCACACCCCACUCAUGGCCCUGAAUGCGAAUGACCCUGUUGAGCAAUGGGCCACCCCAGUGGCACCUCCUGGAACCUGGUGGGUGGCAGCUUGGCUUCAACUGGUUGGGUCAAGGCUGAGCCAUGGCUGGUGCUUCAUGGUGCUCCAGGCCAGCCCUGGAAUCAUGGGCUUUGGGUCAAGGGUGAAGCCCGCCUGCUGCUGGGGGUCACCCUUUCUUCGAGGUCAAUGGUGGGAAGGGUUGCGUCCCGAGGUUGGAAGGCCCCCUCAUGAGGGACCUGUCCCAGGAAUUUGUUGCCCAGGCUGCUUCUGAGCCAUGGGGUCACCUCCAGGGUGGCAGGGUUUUGGGCCCAAGGAAAGGAGGGGGCACCUUGUGGCUCCUGAUUGGCCAAGUGUGGUCCAGCUCUGUGUUUGACAGGGGUCUGGGAUGUGGAUGAGGACCCAGCAGAGAAAGCAUGUGGCCCUGGACCCCAGGCUGCGAUUUCUGAUGGUGACCCCAGAGGAAUACUUGCGUUGUGCCCACUGGACCCAGGCCAGUGGCCAGUUGCCAAGCCCCUGUUGAGCUAAAGCUCAGGCCCUCCUGGGCCCUGGUCUCCUGCAUUGAGCUUGUGAGCUCUUCUGCCCAGCAGACUCCUGGCAUUGACCAGCAUAGAUGGUGACCCCAGAGGAAGACUUGCAUUGUGCCCGCUGGCCCCAGGCCAGUGGCCAUGAGCCAGUUGCCCAACCCCUGUUGCGCUGAAGCUCAGGCCCUCCUGGGCCCUGGUCUCCUGCAUUGAGCUUGUGAGCUCUUGUGCCCAGCAGACCCCCUGGCAUUGACCAGCAUAGAUGGUGAGACCAGAGGAAAACUUUCAUUGGGCCCGCUGUCCCGUGGCGAGUAGUCAUCAGUCAGGUCCCUAGCCCCUGGUGCGCUGAAGCUCAGGCCUUUCCUGGUGCCCUGGUCUCCUGCACUGAGCUGUGUGAGCUCUUCUGCCCAGGUGAGCCCCUGGCCUUGAGCAGCAUAGGUGAGUGGAUCUUGCUGGGGUCACGGGCCAUGAGCCAGGCCACGGGGGAUGGCUGAGGGUCACCCUUCAGGCCACGAGGGACCUGACCUGAAUCCCCACCAGGGAUGGCUGGUUUCUCCAGGAGGGCAGCUUCCUUGGAAACUGAUCCCAGAAGGACGCCUUCCCUGAAACCCUGCAGGGGUAACGGAGGUCCAGGCAGGAGAGGGUUCCUUCAACCCAAUGCAGUGCAGCUCCUGAGACUUGGGGCACGGCUCAGGCCUGGAGCACUUCCAAGGCCACAUGAUGGGGUCCACUGUGUCUCCGGGGGCCACAGGUGUUAUACAGGAGCUCUCUGUCCCUGAGGCUUGCAGUGGGGUAGGGUGUGGGUGAUUGAGCUUAUGGAGUCAGGCCGUGAAGAUUCAAGGACUGGGCCCAACCCAUGGCCCUGAUGGGACUGACCUGUGGAGCAAUGGGCCAUCCCAGUGGUGCCUCCUUGAGCAUGGUGGGGCGGUGUGGCCUCAGUGGGUUUGGGUCAAGACUGAGCUCUGGCCAGCACCUCAUGGUUGGCCCUGGGAAUCGUGGGCUUUGGGCCAAGGGUGCAGCCUGAGUCCCAUUGGAGGUCACCGCUACCUGAAGUGGAGUAGCUGGAAGGGUGGCAUCCUGUGGUGGAAGGCCCACUGUUAAGGGUCCUGUUCCGGCAAUUUGAUGCCCAGGCUACUUCUGAGCCAUGGAGUCACCUCCAGGGUGGCGGGGUCUUGAGCCGAAGGAAAGGAGAGGACAUCACAUGGCCUCUGAUUGGCCGAGUGUGGCCCAGCUCUGUGUUUGGGAGUUGUCCGGUGCGUGAAUGGGGACCCACCAGAGAAGGCACGUGGCCCUGGGGCGUUGGGAUGCAAUUUCUAAUGUGAGCUUAUAGAGGGUGCCUGGAUGGGUUCAUUUCAUGCCCAGGGGCAGGCCAUGUAACUACCAGGUCUGCAGUGGCACGUGGCAUCCAGGCCAGCCUCCUUGGUUUGUUGUGAGCUGGUUGGUGGCCGUGGGCCUGCCCAGUGGUCCUGGUGCAGCCCAGAGUCGAGCAGGGGAUUUUGCAUGGGCAGUGGAUGUUCUCCAGGGUCCUGCAGUAGGGUGCAGCCUGGGUGUUUUGCUCCAACCCUGUGAUCUGCCUGCCCUGUCAUUCCAAGGUUCAGUGGCCAAGGGUUCCUUGCGUUCGUGACCAUCAUGGUUUUACAUGAAUCUCAUCUCAUGAGUCCAUGGAGGAAGAGCAUGUGUGAGCCAGCCCCACCCUGCCCACUUUCCUGCAUGGAGACAUGAGGCUCUGUUUGGACACCUGUCCCCCACCCCUCCAGAUGGUGACCCCAGAGGAAGACUUACAUUGGGCCUGCUGGCUCUGGCCCAGUGUCUCUCAGCCAGCUGCUCAGCCCCUGGUGAGCUGAAGCUCAGGCCCUUCCUGGCACCCUGGUCUGCUGCACUGAGCUGCGGUGAGCCCAUCUGUGCCCCACUGAAUGCAUGGGUGGCGGGCGGUUGGGGGGCGGUGCCCUGGGUUAGGUCGAUGAUGAGAACCUUAUAUUGUCCUGAAGAGAGGUGAUGACUUAAAAAUCAUGCUCAAUAGGAUUACGCUGAGGCCCAGCCUAGGUGAGAAUUUUGGAAGAAGAUGCUGGGAUCCGGAGUUCCCCGGAAUGGCCAGUAUAUUUUGGGCUAGAGACCUUGAGGUCCUGAAUGGAAUCUCAUGGGGAUCCGACCCCUUCUCUGUGCUCCUCUGUGAGGCAGCCCAGGCUCCCUGUGUGGGCUUGGUGUCGGUGCUCCAGUUCUGACAACCCCCAUUGUCCCUUGUGUCUUUCAGUGAGCUCUUCUACCCAGGUGCAGCCCCCAGGCACUGACCAGCAUAGAUGUUGAGGCUGGAGGAAGACUUGAAUUGGGCCCAGUGGCCCCAGGCCAGUGUCCAUCAGCUAGGUGUCCAGCCCCUGGUGCACUGAACAUUGAAUACUUCCUGGCACCCUGGUGUCCUGCACUGAGCUGUGGUGAGCACAUCCGGGUCCUGCUGGAUGCAUGCACUGGGAGGUGGUGCCCUGAGUUGGGUCGAUGAUGAGAACCUUAUAUUGUCCUGAAGAGAGGUGAUGACUUAAAAAUCAUGCUCAAUAGGAUUACGCUGAGGCCCAGCCUAGGUGAGGGUUUUGGAAGAGGACACUGGCAGAGCCAUUGUAUUUUGGGCUGGAGACCUGGAAGCCCUGAAGGGCAUCUGGAGGGCCCAACCCUGUCUCUGUUCUCCUCCGUGAGGCAGUCCUGGCUCCCUGUGUGAUAGCCCUCCUGUUCCCCAGGAGCAAGGCACGUGGGCGGCUCCUCCCUGACCACCAUUCUCCCCUGUGUCUUUUAGUGAGCUCUUCCACCCAGGCGGGCACCCUGGCAUUGACCAGCAUAGGUGAGUGGAUCCUGCUGGGGUCGUGGGCCAUGCGCCAGGCUGCAUGGGGUCACCAAGUAUUAGCCUUAAGGCAGGAGGGUUUCCUCAGGGAGUUGACCUUAAUCCCCACCUGUGGAUAGAUGGGUUUGUCCUCUAGGAAAUCAGCUUCCUGGGGAAUCAGACCCAAUACGAUGCCUUCCCUGAAGCCCUGCAGGGGUGACGGUGGUCCAGUCUGGAAAGGGUUCCUUCAGUCUCAUGCAGGGCAGCUCCAAGCUGACACUCGGUUUGCGAGUCUGUCCUCGAUGACUGCCCAGGACAAAUGAGCGGGACAGCAGAGGCUCUGGGGUGCCACAGGGAUCACUUGGGGGCUCGCCGUCCCUGGAAAUGGGUGGGCGAUCGGGCCCAUGGGGUGGGGCUGCGGAGAUUCAAGGAUCGUGCCCCACUCAUGGCCCUGUAUGCGAAUGACCCUGUUGAGCAAUGGGACACACCAGUAGCUCCUUCUUGAGCCUGGUGGGUGGUGGUUCAGCUUCAACUGGUUGGGUCAAGGCUGAGCUGUGGCUGGUGCUUUGUGGUGCUGCAGGCCGGCCCUGGGACUCAUGGGCUUUGGGUCAAGGGUGCAGCCCACCUGCUGCUGGGAGUCACCCCUUCUUUGAGGUGAGUGACUGGAAGGGUCGCAUCCCGAGGUUGGAAGGCACCCUCAUGAGGGACCUGUCCCGGGAAUUUGUGGCCCAGGCUGCUUCUGAGCCAUGGGGUCACUUCCAGGGUGGCGGGGUCUUGGGUCUAAGGAAAGGAGGGGGUACCAUGUGGCUCCUGAUUGGCUGAGUGUGGCCCAGCUCCGUGUUUGGCAGGUGUCUGGGGUGUGGAUGAGGACCCAGCAGACAAAGCACAUGGCCCUGGACCCAGGCUGCGAUUUCUGGUGUGUGCUUGGAGAGGGAUCCUGGGCAGCCAUUCUCUGCGCACAGGGGCAGGCUGUGGGACUGCCAGGUUGGCAGCAGCACCUGGCUUCCGGACCAGCCUCCUUGGUUGACUGUGAGCUGGUUGGCAGCCUUGGACCCUGCCCUGGGUUUCUGUUGUGGUCUAGAGUCAUGCAGUGGAGCCACUGUGAGCGGUGAAAGUGCUCCAGGGGCCUGCUGUACGGCACAGCCUGGGCAUCUUACCCAAGCCCAGUGACCUGCCUACCUUGUCCUUCAAGGGUUCAGUAGCGGAGAGGACCAAGCGUUCCCCGGGUCCAUGACCAUCAUUAUCUCAUAUAGAUGCCAUCACAUGGGUCCAUGGAGGGAGAGCAUGUGUGAGCCAGCCCCCACUCCCUGCUUUCCUGCAUGGAGGCGUGAGGCCCCGUUUGGAUACCUGUCCCCUGUCCCUCCAGAUGGUGACCAGAGAGGAAGACUUGCAUUGCGCCUGCUAGCCCCAGGCCAGUGGCCAUCAGCGAGAUGCCCAGCCCCUGGUGAGCUGAAGCUUGCGCCCUCCUGGGCCCUGGUCUCCUGCAUUGAACUUGGUGAGCACAUUAGGGUCCCACUGGAUGCGUGUGUGGGGAGGGGGUGCCCUGGGUUGGGUCGAUGAUGAGAACCUUAUAUUGUCUGAAGAGAGGUGAUGACUUAAAAAUCAUGCUCAAUAGGAUUACGCUGAGGCCCAGCCUGGGUGAGAAUUUUGGAAGAGGAUGCUGGGAAUUACGAGUUCCCUGUGAGGUCCACUGUAUUUUGGGCUAGAGACCUGGAGGCUCUGAGGGCAUCUAGAGGGUGCCCAACCCUGUCUCUGCGCUCCUCCAUGAGG